RNAcentral lists this ribosomal RNA (351 nucleotides) under uncultured bacterium. RNAcentral's name for it is "bacterial SSU rRNA". It matches the Rfam family "Bacterial small subunit ribosomal RNA", at positions 8 to 350 of the family's 1533-position model. The record is from RNAcentral.
AGAGUUUGAUCCUGGCUCAGGAUGAACGCUAGCUACAGGCUUAACACAUGCAAGUCGAGGGGAAACGACAUCGAAAGCUUGCUUUUGAUGGGCGUCGACCGGCGCACGGGUGAGUAACGCGUAUCCAACCUGCCCACCACUUGGGGAUAACCUUGCGAAAGUAAGACUAAUACCCAAUGACGUCUCUAGAAGACAUCUGAAAGAGAUUAAAAGAUUUAUCGGUGAUGGAUGGGGAUGCGUCUGAUUAGCUUGUUGGCGGGGUAACGGCCACCAAGGCUACGAUCAGUAGGGGUUCUGAGAGGAAGGUCCCCCANAUUGGAACUGAGACACGGUCCAAAUCCUACGGGAGCA